Molecule: transfer RNA, 85 nt
Filed under: Felis catus (domestic cat)
Lineage: Eukaryota; Metazoa; Chordata; Mammalia; Carnivora; Felidae
Rfam family: tRNA
About the family: Transfer RNA (tRNA) molecules are approximately 80 nucleotides in length. Their secondary structure includes four short double-helical elements and three loops (D, anti-codon, and T loops). Further hydrogen bonds mediate the characteristic L-shaped molecular structure. tRNAs have two regions of fundamental functional importance: the anti-codon, which is responsible for specific mRNA codon recognition, and the 3' end, to which the tRNAs corresponding amino acid is attached (by aminoacyl-tRNA synthetases). tRNAs cope with the degeneracy of the genetic code in two manners: having more than one tRNA (with a specific anti-codon) for a particular amino acid; and 'wobble' base-pairing, i.e. permitting non-standard base-pairing at the 3rd anti-codon position.
Source: Rfam by way of RNAcentral
GCCUGGGUGGCUCAGUCGGUUGAGCAUCCGACUUCAGCUCAGGUCAUGAUCUCAUGGUUCGUGGGUUCGAGCCCCGCGUUGGGCU